Non-coding RNA from Populus trichocarpa (black cottonwood), 102 nucleotides. The record is from Rfam. Lineage: Eukaryota; Viridiplantae; Streptophyta; Magnoliopsida; Malpighiales; Salicaceae.
UAAUUUGUUUGGGGUAAAUCCUCAUCUAAUUAUGACAUACUUACAUUUAACUGUUCAUAAUCACCCAUGAGAACUAUUGCUUGAAUAAUAACUUUUUAAAAU